RNAcentral lists this transfer RNA (72 nucleotides) under Pangasius djambal. Its description in RNAcentral is "tRNA-Glu". The record is from RNAcentral. Lineage: Eukaryota; Metazoa; Chordata; Actinopteri; Siluriformes; Pangasiidae.
UCCCUGGAGGACUAGUGGUUAGGCCACUGCACGCUCACUGCCCUGGCCUGGGUUCGAUUCCUGGCCAGGGAA